UUUUAAAUGAAGACUAGAACAAAAGACUUAACAUUUUAAUAAUUUUAUUUUUCUAAAUUAUUUAACUUCUUUUUAAUGUAAAAAAACAUUAAUUUAUUAGAAAGACGACAAGACCCUAUUGAACUUAACUUUAGUUAAACUGGGGCAGUAAAUUAAUUAUUAUUUUAAUUAAUAAUAUUUUAAAUUAUAUCCAAUAAAAUUGAAUUAUUCAGUUACCAUAGGGAUAACAGCGCAAUUAUAUUCUUAAGUUCUUAUAUAAAAAAUAGAUUACGACCUCGAUGUUGAAUUAAUAACCUAAUUUAAAGCAAUAGUUAAAAAAGGAAGUCUGUUCGACUUUUAAACAAUUACAUGAUUUGAGUUCAGACCGGUGUAAGCCAGGUCGGUUUCUAUCUUCUAAAACAAAAUUUUUACAGUACGAAAGGACCUAAAAAAUUUAAUAGUUUUUAUAUUGGCAGACAAAUGCAUUAGAAUUAGAAUCUAAUUAAUCUCUU
This 491-nucleotide ribosomal RNA is filed under the name Truncattus flavus. Its description in RNAcentral is "partial 16S ribosomal RNA". The stretch from base 98 to 396 matches the Rfam family "Bacterial large subunit ribosomal RNA", at positions 2073 to 2647 of the family's 2925-position model. Lineage: Eukaryota; Metazoa; Arthropoda; Arachnida; Araneae; Salticidae. The record is from RNAcentral.